CAGUAGCCACGGUAAUACAGAGGAUGCAAGCGUUAUCCGGAAUGAUUGGGCGUAAAGCAUCUGCAGAUGGCUUUUCAAGUCCGCCGUCAAAUCCCAGGGCUCAACCCUGGACAAGCGGUGGAAACUACCAAGCUGGAGUACGGUAGGGGCAGAGGGAAUUUCCAGUGGAGCGGUGAAAUGCAUUGAGAUCGGAAAGAACACCAACGGCGAAAACACUCUGCUGGGCCGACACUGACACUGAGAGACGAAAGCUAGGGGAGCAAAUGGGAUUAGAUACCCCCGUAGUCCCUGUCUCUUAUAC
RNAcentral lists this ribosomal RNA (301 nucleotides) under uncultured bacterium. RNAcentral describes it as "partial 16S ribosomal RNA". It matches the Rfam family "Bacterial small subunit ribosomal RNA", at positions 509 to 807 of the family's 1533-position model. The record is from RNAcentral.